RNAcentral lists this ribosomal RNA (484 nucleotides) under uncultured bacterium. RNAcentral's name for it is "bacterial SSU rRNA". It matches the Rfam family "Bacterial small subunit ribosomal RNA", at positions 30 to 507 of the family's 1533-position model. The record is from RNAcentral.
AUUGAACGCUGGCGGCAGGCCUAACACAUGCAAGUCGAGCGGUAGAGAGGUGCUUGCAUCUCUUGAGAGCGGCGGACGGGUGAGUAAUGCCUAGGAAUCUGCCUAGUGGUGGGGGAUAACGUUCGGAAACGGACGCUAAUACCGCAUACGUCCUACGGGAGAAAGCGGGGGAUCUUCGGACCUCGCGCCAUUAGAUGAGCCUAGGUCGGAUUAGCUAGUUGGUGAGGUAAUGGCUCACCAAGGCGACGAUCCGUAACUGGUCUGAGAGGAUGAUCAGUCACACUGGAACUGAGACACGGUCCAGACUCCUACGGGAGGCAGCAGUGGGGAAUAUUGGACAAUGGGCGAAAGCCUGAUCCAGCCAUGCCGCGUGUGUGAAGAAGGUCUUCGGAUUGUAAAGCACUUUAAGUUGGGAGGAAGGGUUGUAGAUUAAUACUCUGCAAUUUUGACGUUACCGACAGAAUAAGCACCGGCUAACUCUGUG